Molecule: ribosomal RNA, 375 nt
Filed under: uncultured archaeon
Lineage: Archaea
Description: bacterial SSU rRNA
Rfam family: Archaeal small subunit ribosomal RNA
Source: RNAcentral
ACUUUACAAUGCGGGAAACCGUGAUAAGGGAACCCCGAGUGCCCGUAAAUUCGGGCUGUUCACCAGUGCAAACAGCUGGUGGAGAAAGGGCCGGGCAAGACCGGUGCCAGCCGCCGCGGUAAUACCGGCGGCUCGAGUGGUGGCCACUAUUACUGGGCUUAAAGCGUCCGUAGCUGGGUUGUUAAGUCUCUGGGGAAAUCUUCCGGCUUAACCGGAAGGCGUCUCAGGGAUACUGGCAAUCUAGGGAUCGGAAGAGGUGAGGGGUACUCCAGGGGUAGAGUGAAAUCUUGUAAUCCUUGAAGGACCACCAGUGGCGAAGGCGUCUCACCAGAACGGACCUGACGGCAAGGGACGAAAGCUAGGGGCACGAACCGG